GUUUGCAGUGAGCCGAGAAUGCACCACUGCACUCCAGCCUGGGCGACAGAGGGAGACUUCAUCUCAAAGAAAAAAAAAAGGCCGUUUCACACAGGCAGCCCCCUCAGUAGCACUUCUGCCAUCAGAGAGAGAAAGAAAUGACCAUGGCCACAGGACAGUUUGCCCACAGUCCCUUGGCAAAGAACUCCUCUUAACUCAUCUCAGGAUAAGAGCCUUCGAAAUUUGGAGAACUGCCUAUCAGAGGCAUGGAAAGACACGAGGCUGUCUCACAGAAUGGAAAACUGUGGUUUGGAGCAGUUACAUGGGCUCCAUCCACAACUCCAAAAAUGUUAGUCACCCACCCAGUGAGCACCAGGACAUUGGCCAAGGCAGGGACAGGAGCACAAUGAGGGAGUGCCAGUGUCCCUGGAAGAGACCUCAACUCUGACUGUGCCACUUCGAGUGGAGGGACCUCGGCAAAACCAAGCAUCUGAACUGGGAGACGCUGAUCGACACCAUGGUUGCCGAACUGGGUCUGGGAGCCUCCAAGGGGAAGCAUCAGGGGCUGCAGUAGGGAUAGCGAGGUCAGCCACGAGGCCAAACAGGGCAGCUCCAGCCCCCACUCCAGCUCAACAGAUAACUCAGCUGCAUCUUUAAUUCUGGGGAAUCUAGGUAUGAACUGGUUUGCAAUGAGGUUCUCCAGAUUUUUAGAAAAACUUUGACAAUCCCUGGAUUAAGGCAUCUUGCAAGAGGACAGGGAAGGACUUAGCAGAUGAAUGAGGUUACGAGCGUAGGCUUUGGAGCCAGAAGGCCUGGGGCUUCAAAUCUCAGCCUGUGUGGCCCUAGACGAGUGGCUGCAUUUCUCAGGCCUUCAGUUUCCUCAUCUGUAAAAUGCAGGUAACAACAGAACCAACUUUUUACAGUCAUCAUGUGGAUUCAGUGAGUUAUUUCAAACAAAGUGCUUAAAACAGAGCUUGACACAUAGAAGCACUCCAUGUAAGCUGCCAUUCAGAUUUCUAAGUCAGGUCUAGUUAUCUUGUGAAAAGCAGAAAUGCCCAUCUAUGAGGUGCUUAAACUAGUACUCACGAUUACGAGCAAGUUCUUAUUGUUCUCAGACAGAAGUCACCCCACGAAACCACUUGCCCAGAAACCUGUCAGUAGGCAGUGAAUUUUUCUUCCAUGGUAAAAAAGGGAAGUGGUACCUAAACCCUAGCACACCCAGAUACCUUUGCCCUAAAAACAUAUUGUCUUCAAUUCAGGAUGCAGCCAUUGUACACAGCAUGGGACUAUGCAAUAGCAUAAGAAUUAGAACUGGAAAUAACACACUGUCUUGUGUAUUAAAAACGGCCUGCACUAUUUAGUAGCUGUGUGACUUGGACAGUCUCAUUCACCGCAUCCUUAACGUGGGAAUAAUCAUACUCCUAACCACAGGGAGUAAUAAAGAUUUGAUUGAAAGCAAUUAGCAGACUGCUUGCCACCUAGUAAGACUUCAAUAAUGAGCAAGCACGAAGCCACCUUCCUAAAAAGGGACUUAACACAAGAGGUCAAAGCCAGCCCAGAAUGGCAGACAAAGAGGGGGCGGUCAGACUCAGCCAGCACCUGAGUCUCAUCACCCAGAAGGGACAAGUCAAGCAUGCCCGCCAAGCAGCCCAGCCUCUACUCAGCCUUACCAGCCCCCGGGCUCCUUGGAGACAUUGUGGAUGAGGGCGCCACGGCAGAAGCUCAGCUCAUCGCUUCGCUUGGCUUUGUAGUCAUACAGAGCUUUCACAGUUCUCUGAGGCUUUCAGGGAAAACAAGAAAGAAAACGUCAGGCCAGGGACAGGAGGCUGCAUUCCAGGCAUCAUUCAGUUCUUCUCACUGGGGAGCAGGAGGCUUCAGGACAAGAUUACAAAGUCAUCUGCUGGAGAGGGACUGGCAUUGCAAAGGACCUAAGGCCCCAAAAAGUCACCAGGGAGUGAAGGAAGUCUGGCCUGGUCAGAGCUAAGGGUAUCUGGGUUAGGGUUAGGGCUAGGGUUAGGGGCUAAGGAUUAUGGGUUAGGGUUUAGGGUUUUGGCACAGGGGUUAGGAGUCAGGGUUAGGGUUAGGGUUAGGGUUAGGGUUAUAGUUUAGGGAUAGAGAUGAGGUUAGGGUGAGAGUGCCCCUGUAUUUCACUGACCCAAUAUUCCUCAAUUUCUUCAACAAAGAAAGGAAAUGCCUUUUAGAUUAAGCCAAGACCUCCGUCACAGUGCCUGUGCUCAUCAAGCCUCCCAGAAGUUCAAGGGCAACCCCAUUCUUCCUGCCUGUCCUGAGGGCCUCACUGCUCUUUUUAUGUAGGUCAGCGGUCCCCUAUCUAUACUCUUGCAGGCCGCUGACCUUUUGCAAGACUAAGUCAGGCUCUCCUCUAUGAAAUUCAUCAAAAGGUGAUCUCUGUUGUCAUAACUAAGUAAGAACUUCCUCAGUAUAGAAAUUUUAUUCAAUGAAUUUGCUUUCAUGCCUUCUGCCUGGCAGGCAUAAACGAAUACCCAGAUGGCAAGCAAAUAUUAAUGGGAAAACCUCUGACGCCGUCAAACCUGUUUAGAUCAGCGGCUUCCUUCUUCUGCCACCCAAAGGAAAUGGGAACAGGAAUUUCACAGGGAAUCCAGUAAAACUAUUCCUCAGAACACAGGCUACAAAGUCAGACAUGUAGGUUCAAACCAUUGCCCUGCCCUUAAAUGGUUACAUAAGGUUGAGACUCUCUGAUCCUCAGCUCCCCCAUCUGUGAAAUGAGAAGUAAAUUUUUAUACAUUUCACAGGAUUGUUAAACUAUCACAUGAGAUCGUGUGUAUAACGACAUAACUCACAGGAGCUUGCGAUUCUUCAGUGCUAACUGCAGUACAGGUCAAAGCACUGUUCCGAGCCUCAGGGUAUCACCUUUAAUCCCUACAACCACCGUAACAGGUAGGUAGUUACGUGAUUAUCCCCAUUUUACAGAUGAUGAAAAAACUGAGAUGCGGAGAAGGAAAGUAACUUGCCCCACAUCAACCAGCUGUUUUAAGUAGCUGAGCCCGGAACUGCAUCUAUCAAUGUGAGUUAUUGCCAUAGCUCAGGAUGUUUCGUAAGAAGCAAUGUGGGUUCUAGAAGCUCUGCCACAGGGAUCUGCAGCGGGAGGCUAAGCAGAGCCCUUGCCUAUCUCUCUCCCUCCUGCAGACAGAGCGGCCUCUACCUGCAUAUCCUGCUUCAAGGGUGGAUGUAAGGGCCAGAGCCAGGCUCCAAGGCCACAGGAACGAACACUCAUCAGUUAGAGGGGUGACUGUUCUCAUCACCAAAACAUCCUUCACUUCUAACAAAAUUUUUGCUGCUAAGUUCUCUUAAUGCAUUUCACAUACAGCUGAAUUUGCCUACAACUUUUCAAGAUUUCAUUUAUUUCUGAAAGAGAUCUACAUUGGCCAAGGAUUAUAAAUUUUUAAAAAACAAAGUCACCUAUGGAUUUCAACAGAGCCCACAAGCAGGGCCCCUGCCUAAGCGAGCGCUGUACACUAAUCGUGGGCCACAUGGCCCCCAAACAGAAAAUUUGCCGCCGUUCUUCCUCUGCCGGUUCAAACUAAAUCUGAGAUGAAACCAUGGCAAGGAAGAGCCGAGGGCUCAAAGUAAAAUCCAUCCCUACCUGCAUGAAAUUACACGACAGAGUUGGGGUGGGAAUAUGAGAUAGUGUUUGCACUGUUUGCACUGCAGGGAGGUCAGCGAACCAGAUGGAAUUUAUAAACACCACGGGCUCCAUCAGUGAGCAAGAAACAUUUGAAAGACUUAAUUAGAAGCCAUUUUGGCCCAGAGGUGGUUCAGGAAACCUCAGAAUUUUAGCAAAACACUGUUGCAUUUGGAUGGAAUUCUAUUAACCUUUACCCUGAAACUAGACUUCAUACUGUCAAUCAUCGUUUCUUCUCAAAAAAAUAAAUAAAUAAAUUAUUUUGGCCGGGUUUUCCAGAAUCUUCCCUUGCCCUGUUGUAACUGCCAGGAGAACAAGAUGGAAUCCACAUCAGCCUAGUGACUCAGAAAUCACGUGAGCUGGGGGUUCAGCACUGUACCAUGGACGGAUUGAUUUCACUGGGAUCCACAUACAUUCUGCUGACAUCAUAGAGGGAGUUUAUAUCUCUUUCCUGGAAGAAAAAAGAAAGAAAGAAAUGUAAUAAUCCACGCUCCUAGAAUAGCCCUUCCAUAUUACAAGAGUUCUAGGCUUCCUUAUGGUUACCUAUCCUUCGAUAGAAGAGUUGAAAUGUCAUAGAAUUUUCUUGUGACCCAUGAGUGGACACAGGAAAAAGCUAUACAAAAGGUCUCCAGACUUGGAAACUAACCCAAAAUCAGAGAGGCCCUGGCAUGGCCUGCUGUGUGCCAGGCACCAUGUUCCCUUGUAAAAACACAAAUCCUAAGAUCCAGUGGUGCGCUGGAGUGAGCUCCCAGCUCGCAAAAGCCCACUGUGUACAUCGCUUCCUGACUCCACAUUUAAGGUUUGAUGGCAGCAUAUCAGCAACUUGAAACUGACCACCAUGUAAGUAUUUACACCACGGAAAUUGGCAAAUGCUACAAACCACUGCUUUCCCCCUCAGAGCUGUUUAAACAUUUGCUAGCACACCACUGCCAAGAUCUGCCCCCAGCACCUCUCUGUUCCUCUCUAACUCUUCUUUCUGUUCCUCAUGUCACCUGAGGGCUUGUGGUGUGGCUACUCCUCUACCUAGAGCUACCCCUUCCUUCACUUCUCCCCCAAGUCCAUUCACCACUGUCUUCCAUGUUUCAGCUCACAUUUCCCCCCUUUUAAGGUGGCCUUCUCUGAUCACCACCCCCACAGUCUAAGGCAGUACCCACCCCUUUUCACACAAUCCUGUUUUCUUUGCUUUAUUAUACUUCAUGCUACCUGAAAUUAUCUUCGUUAUGUAUAUUAUCUCUCCUCUCCAGAACCUACAUUUCCCAAAGGCAGAUUUUGUUCCAUAGUACUCCCAGUAUCUACAACAGUUCUUGGCACAUGGUCAGGAUGACAUAAAUCUCUUUUCAAUAAAUUAAUGAUCUGUGUGGUAGGAAGGGAGACACUGUAAUCAUGUCGGGUCUCUUCUGUACCCAGAACUGUCCAAUAACUCAGAGAAAAAGCCAGGGCCUUAUAAUGGCCUCUGAGCCCUGCAUGAUCCAGUCCCCUGUGAACCCCCAUUUUCAUUUAGCUCCACCUCCACCUAGGCUUGCUCAAUUCCAGCUGCUUCUUGGUGCCUCCAGGCAGGCUCCUACCUCAGGACCUUUGCACAUGCUAUCCUCUCUUCCUACAGAAGUUACCCACCUGGCUCACUCCUUCUCAGUGACAUCUUCCUAGACCACCCUCUGAAAACUGCAAUCCCUUCCCCAUCACUCUGCAUCCCCUUAUCCACCUGCCCAGUGUUUCUCCUUAGCUCUCAUCACCAUCUGACACACACUAUGGAUAUUUUAAACCUCAUUUGUUGCAUCUCCCCAUCACUACACUAUAAGCAGCACAAGGGCAGGGUCUUUUUCUGUUGUGUUCAGUUUGUAUCCCCAGAACCUACAGCAGUAUUAGACACAUGGUGAAUACUCAGAGGUUUGCUGAACUCAGGAACAGAUGAGCUACAACCUCAGACAAGAAAUCCCACCAAAUCACAAGGGAGUCAACCACCUACCAUAUUGUAGCGCUCCAGGAGCUCGGGCGUCACGGGGUAGCGCAGUCUCAUCUUUCGGUAGAGUGAAUGCUUCUCAUAGUAACUGACGAGCUCCACCAGGCUCUCAAAAUAGGCGGAGGUUCCCAGAACAAAGUGCCGGCCGUCCCGGUUGAUGCGACAAUGCUUCACCUUGCCCCUAGCCCUGGAUCGGGAAGAACACAGCGGUUGACAUGUCAAGAUCCUGGUGGCCAAACAAUUUUUAUACAAACCCCACUGAUUAGAUACAACGUAGUUAUCCAGCCUUAGAGAAGUGGGUACAGAAACAGGGUGUAGUCCUCCUAUGGAAUACAAGGCAAUUAAAAACAAUGAUGUGGGUAUUUUCAAAACAGAUCUAGAAGACUCUGUGUCUCAGAAGAAAUAUUGCUGACUGACUCAACAGCUCCUCUUACCCUUCCCCUCCUCCCCAGCUACAGGGCUUGACUUUAGGACCAUCUUAGGGAACUAGAUGAGGAGUAGGCCAAAUCUGUCCCACCACUUUUUAUAAAUAAAGCUUUAUUGAAACACAACUAUAGUUCAUUUGUAUAUACAUUGUCUGGGCUGUUUUCAUACUGUAACAGCAGAGUUGCAUAGCUGCAACAGAGACCAUAUGGCCAGUAAAACCUAAAAUAUUCACUCUUUGGUCCUUUACAGAAAAUGCUUGCCAAUCUUCCCCACCAAAUUCUUAAAUCUUGCCUUCAAUGACUCAGCUAGCAAAAUGACGACUUUUUUUUUUUUUUUUUUUUUUCAAAAAAGAGACAAGUCUUUCAUUCCUUCAUCUGUUUGAAACAUGAAGCAGAAAAAAUCCAAAACAGAACAGCCUCCUUAGUUUUAUUAGCUUUUUUCAGCAAGACAAAAACAUCUGGAAAAAUAUAUUUUGACCCUAGCUUUAUAGCCAAGAGGCUCUUCAAACUGGACCUUUAUCUCACACCAUAAACAAAAAAAGCACCUCAAAAUGGAUUAAAGACUAAACAUAAGACCUGAAACUGUAAAACUACUAGAAGAAAACCAAGAGUAAAAACUGUGUAACAUGGGUCUGGACAAUGAUUUUCCAGAUAGCACCC
Long non-coding RNA from Cebus imitator (Panamanian white-faced capuchin), 6685 nucleotides. RefSeq lists it as uncharacterized. The transcript has 2 exons. Lineage: Eukaryota; Metazoa; Chordata; Mammalia; Primates; Cebidae. The record is from RefSeq and is a predicted model, not a curated record.